AAAGCAACAGUUAUAAAAAAGCAGUACUGAAAAUCUGAAAAAGUCUGAUAAAAUUUACAAAUGCAAACUACCACUUUGUACAAAAUCUUUUUUAAAGAAAGUUUAGUCAUAUUUUUUAAAAUACAGUUUUAACAGCUCAGAAAUGCCCAUUUUUUUCAAACUGUUUAGGUAUUAUUUUCGUCUGUGUGGGGAAUACUCCCUUCGUCUAUCCUCAUGUUUUCUUGAUUCCCUGUACUGGUCAGAGUAAUGGUUGUACUUCUCUCUGAGUCUCUCUGAGCCAUUUCUGUAUCGGUGGUCAUCUUCUUCCUCCCUUGGACUUGACUUAUUAUAGGAUCUCUCUCCAGACUUGGAUCUUUCCCUUUUUCUACUCCGAUGUCCAUUAUCUCUGCUCCCAUGUCUAUAACUUUCAUCAUCAGAAAAAGAAGCUCUUCUUUCUGCUUUCUUCAGUUUAGAAUUGCUGUGUUUAUUUUCUAGAUCCUUACUUCUCUCAUGGUCCCUAUCCCUUCCACUAUGGUAAUUGUCUCUACCAUUAGACUCAUCCCUCUGAUGGUAUUUUGAUACAUCAUCUCUCCUAUAUGCUUCGUAAUCGUCUCUGCCAUUAGACUCAUCCCUGUGAUGAUAUUUUGAUGUGUCAUCCCUCCUAUGUGCCUCUCUCAGAUUUCGGUGAUUUCUUUCUGACUUGCUCUCACUAUCACUUCUGUCCUCUUGCCGUCUUCUUCCCGUCUUCUUUUCAAGCGAUUUCCUUUUCUUUUCUUGUUUUUUCCGGGAAGCUUUAUCAGAUUCUCUGUUUUUCUUUUGUGUUCUCCUUUUUUUAGCUUUGGAAGCAUCUGAGUCACUGCUGUCACUACUGCUGGAUGAGGAGUCACUGCUGCUGGAUGACUCUGAGCUACUGCUGCUGCUGUCAGAAUCAGAAUCUGAAGAAGAGUCUGUUUCCGAAGAUGAAGAUGAAUCUGAUGACUCAACAUCUUGUUUCUGAGUCAUUAUCAUCUUUGGUGCAUUUUUCAGAUGCUCCCGUA
RNAcentral lists this long non-coding RNA (1016 nucleotides) under Gallus gallus (chicken). The record is from RNAcentral. Lineage: Eukaryota; Metazoa; Chordata; Aves; Galliformes; Phasianidae.